AGUGGCGGACGGGUGAGUAACGCGUGAGAAUCUGCCUUCAGGUCGGGGACAACAGAGGGAAACUUCUGCUAAUCCCGGAUGAGCCUUAGGGUAAAAAAUUUAUUGCCUGGAGAUGAGCUCGCGUCUGAUUAGCUAGUUGGUAAGGUAAAAGCUUACCAAGGCAACGAUCAGUAGCUGGUCUGAGAGGAUGAGCAGCCACACUGGGACUGAGACACGGCCCAGACUCCUACGGGAGGCAGCAGUGGGGAAUUUUCCGCAAUGGGCGAAAGCCUGACGGAGCAAGACCGCGUGGGGGGAAGGCUCUAGGGUUGUAAACCCCUUUUCUUUGGGAAGAACAAAAUGACGGUACCAAAGGAAUCAGCCUCGGCUAACUCCGUGCCAGCAGCCGCGGUAAUACGGAGGAGGCAAGCGUUAUCCGGAAUGAUUGGGCGUAAAGCGUCCGCAGGUGGCAAUGUAAGUCUGCUGUCAAAACCCAGGGCUCAACUCUGGUCAGGCAGUGGAAACUACAUAGCUAGAGUUCGGUAGGGGCAAAGGGAAUUCCCGGUGUAGCGGUGAAAUGCGUAGAGAUCGGGAAGAACAUCGGUGGCGAAAGCGCUUUGCUAGACCGAAACUGACACUCAGGGACGAAAGCUAGGGGAGCGAAUGGGAUUAGAUACCCC
Molecule: ribosomal RNA, 659 nt
Filed under: uncultured bacterium
Lineage: Bacteria
Description: bacterial SSU rRNA
Rfam family: Bacterial small subunit ribosomal RNA
Source: RNAcentral